GCCCGGGUGGUGGAAUUGGUAGACGCGCCGGACUCAAAAUCCGGUUCCCGCAAGGGAGUGAGGGUUCGAGUCCCUCCCCGGGCACCA
RNAcentral lists this transfer RNA (87 nucleotides) under bacterium. RNAcentral's name for it is "tRNA-Leu". It matches the Rfam family "tRNA". Rfam says of the family: Transfer RNA (tRNA) molecules are approximately 80 nucleotides in length. The record is from RNAcentral.